UCCAAUGUGGUGUAGUGGCUAACAUUGCUGUCUUUCAUAUCGUUCUUUCCUUGUUCCACAGCAGCCCGGGGUUCGAUUCCCCGCAUUGGAA
Molecule: non-coding RNA, 91 nt
Organism: Lentinula lateritia
Lineage: Eukaryota; Fungi; Basidiomycota; Agaricomycetes; Agaricales; Omphalotaceae
Source: the annotation of a GenBank genome assembly